GAUGAACGCUGGCGGCGUGCCUAAUACAUGCAAGUCGAGCGAACAGACGAGGAGCUUGCUCCUCUGACGUUAGCGGCGGACGGGUGAGUAACACGUGGAUAACCUACCUAUAAGACUGGGAUAACUUCGGGAAACCGGAGCUAAUACCGGAUAAUAUAUUGAACCGCAUGGUUCAAUAGUGAAAGACGGUUUUGCUGUCACUUAUAGAUGGAUCCGCGCCGCAUUAGCUAGUUGGUAAGGUAACGGCUUACCAAGGCAACGAUGCGUAGCCGACCUGAGAGGGUGAUCGGCCACACUGGAACGGAGACACGGUCCAGACUCCUACGGGAGGCAGCAGUAGGGAAUCUUCCGCAAUGGGCGAAAGCCUGACGGAGCAACGCCGCGUGAGUGAUGAAGGUCUUCGGAUCGUAAAACUCUGUGAUUAGGGAAGAACAAAUGUGUAAGUAACUAUGCACGUCUUGACGGUACCUAAUCAGAAAGCCACGGCUAACUACGUG
This 497-nucleotide ribosomal RNA is filed under the name uncultured bacterium. RNAcentral's name for it is "partial 16S ribosomal RNA". It matches the Rfam family "Bacterial small subunit ribosomal RNA", at positions 28 to 507 of the family's 1533-position model. The record is from RNAcentral.